GCCAGACUCCUACGGGAGGCAGCAGUGGGGAAUAUUGCACAAUGGGGGAAACCCUGAUGCAGCGACGCCGCGUGAGUGAAGAAGUAUUUCGGUAUGUAAAGCUCUAUCAGCAGGGAAGAAAAUGACGGUACCUGAUUAAGAAGCCCCGGCUAACUACGUGCCAGCAGCCGCGGUAAUACGUAGGGGGCAAGCGUUAUCCGGAUUUACUGGGUGUAAAGGGAGCGUAGACGGUGAUGCAAGUCAGAAGUGAAAGCCCGGGGCUCAACUCCGGGACUGCUUUUGAAACUGUGUGACUGGAGUGCAGGAGAGGUAAGCGGAAUUCCUGGUGUAGCGGUGAAAUGCGUAGAUAUCAGGAGGAACACCAGUGGCGAAGGCGGCUUACUGGACUGUAACUGACGUUGAGGCUCGAAAGCGUGGGGAGCAAACAGGAUUAGAUACCCUCGUAC
RNAcentral lists this ribosomal RNA (446 nucleotides) under uncultured bacterium. Its description in RNAcentral is "bacterial SSU rRNA". It matches the Rfam family "Bacterial small subunit ribosomal RNA", at positions 330 to 793 of the family's 1533-position model. The record is from RNAcentral.